CUCACUCCAUUAUCAAUUAUUUUUCACAUUUUUCAGUACUUCUAGUUCUUCGUAAUCUCCUUCAAAAAAAAAUAAUCUUUCUCCCGAAUUUUUUUUAUGUACAGGGUAAUAUGCUUCGUAAUCUCCGUUAUUCAUCUAAUAUUUCUUCUGUAAGAAAAAAAUUCCCUUCGAAAAACAAAAGAAGCUUUUGAUUUCGUUUAUCAAAUCAUGAGAUUCCUCAACUAGUCUACCCUAAUAUUUACUGCUCUUGUGUUCUUCAUCAACUAUUCUACCCUAAUCUUCGACUAGUUUCUUCUGGAAGAUUUUGACUGCUCUUGUGUUCUUCAUCAAAUCAUGAGAUUUCGCAACUAUUCCACCUUAAUUUUUCAGAUACGUUGUUAACAGAUCGGGAUUUCGUUUAGUUGCAGAUAAAAUUGUUGUCAGGGUUUUCAGUAGAUUACUAUUCUAAAUCUAAUUAUAGUUAUUUUUCUGCCUAAUCGAUCCUUCACUAUUCUUCUGCGAAUGUAAUUGAUGUUUGCCCUAAUUUCCAUUUCAGGUUGAAAGAAAUAGUUGGUGCGAUUUCCAAUCAGAUCAGGUUGAAAGAAACAGUUGGUGCGAUUUCAGGGAUUCAUUUGCAAUCAGAUCAGAUAGUCAGAUGUGAUUCCAAAAGAUUGGAUGGAUGAAAGUGUUAUUUUUAGUAAAGUUUAUCGAGAUGGGGUUAGAUACUUUAUCAGUUUUGCUGUAAGAUAUGGUUACUCGAAGUCGAUAUGUGCCUGCCCUUGUAAUAAGUGCCGAAAUAGAAAGAAUCUAGAAAUUGAAAAAGUUAGGCAACAUCUAUUAGAGAAGGAUAUAGACAAGAGGUACCGUAUGUGGGCUUUCAUGGUGAGAAAUCAACUAAUAGAAGCACAGUCGGUUCAGUCCAAGAGGAAAACAUCAGCGAACCAAAUAGGGAGGAAGGUGUGCCUGAAAUGAGAAGAUUGGUUGAUGUUGCAUUUGGAGUGCAUGAAAUGGCAGAUGAUGGCAUUAGUAGCGACGAGGCAGUUCAGUUAGAAUCUUUAGUUGCAGAACCUGAUUUAGGAAAACGAUAUGAGAAAUAUAAGGUCUUAGCAGAAGAGAAACUAUACCCUAACCAUCAAGGUAACCAUACAAAUCUAUCUGCAGUUGUUGAACUUCAUAAUAUGAAAAAGAUGUAUGGCAUUUCAGGGAAUUCCAUGAGCUCUAUCUUGUCAAAGGUAAAACAAUGGCCCAGAUAAGGGUAAAAGGUCUUUACGUGGCUUUUCCUCCAGCGUUUCUGCGAAGCGUGCUAAGCAAGCAUUCCUGACUGCUGCUGUUCAGGAUUCUACAGUUAACAAAUACAACUCUCCUGUCACCGGACUGAAAAAGUACAAUCAGUGAAAGUUGUGAUGUUGGUGCGUGUGAACUGAAAGUUCAAAUGGAAUGGCAUACACUUUUUGUAGGUCAUGGCACAAAAUAUAUCCAGUGACCAUCCAAAAAGCGAAGAAACAAUCUUGGAUGAUUCUUGUACCCCUAACUCUGAGUUCACUCCUGAGUUCCCUCCUGACUUCACUCCAGAAAAUCAUUCUUUUACCAGGAAUUUAGAUCCCAUGUCAGAGCCACAAUCUUUCGACAAUUCUGGUUAUGUGAAUUUGUUGGACAUGAAUGGAAAAAUAGUUGCAGCUGGAUAUGUGGUAACCGGUUUGGAAGGUGAGGUCUGUCACCACAGAAUUGUCCAAAAGAACGAGAGUAAAGUUCGCAUAGAAUGCAUCUACGAUGAUUCUGCACCAAUUUGGGACCCUCCUCAAGGUGAUGACUUCUAUAAGCUAUCUUCUUAUGUUGUUGGUGGUUGGAUAAUAUGGCAUAAGAAGCGUCUGCAAUUUAUAAAUUAAACAUUGUGUACCUUGUUACAGAUUAGUACUAUUAGGUAGAGUUUAUUUUCAAUUUAUAAUAAUUUGUUAGUUUCUAUUGUUUAGUGUUUUAAGAGUGUAUUGGGGACAUCCAGUGGAUGUUGAAACAGAUGUCUUUUUAUUAAUUUAAUUUAUAUUUUCUA
This is an RNA transcript of Papaver somniferum (opium poppy), 2026 nucleotides long. RefSeq lists it as uncharacterized. NCBI's taxonomy places the organism in Eukaryota, Viridiplantae, Streptophyta, Magnoliopsida, Ranunculales, Papaveraceae. The transcript is spliced from 5 exons. The record is from RefSeq and is a predicted model, not a curated record.